GUUGGUUAGAUGGGAAAAUACCAGAAGGGGAAAAAUUAGAAGUAUUGAGAGACUUAACAGUAUCUUUGGUUGGGUGCGAAUGAAGACUGAUAAGGAUGCUAGGGAAAUGAUGUUCGGUCGAGACGACAUCAAUUUGAUUGUUGUAAUCAGUUAGAAUUAUUUCUGUUUUCAGAUAGCUUAUUUUGUACUGAUGUUUGUUGUGAACCUCGUUGUAACAAAAACUUAAUGAUAUAUAAUGAUUGAAGGUUACAGAAAU
This 256-nucleotide long non-coding RNA is filed under the name Lathyrus oleraceus (garden pea). Its description in RNAcentral is "Pisum sativum (pea) long non-coding RNA (PSAT_LNC019441)". The record is from RNAcentral. Lineage: Eukaryota; Viridiplantae; Streptophyta; Magnoliopsida; Fabales; Fabaceae.